This 548-nucleotide ribosomal RNA is filed under the name Thermoascus crustaceus. Its description in RNAcentral is "eukaryotic LSU rRNA". The stretch from base 188 to 341 matches the Rfam family "5.8S ribosomal RNA". Lineage: Eukaryota; Fungi; Ascomycota; Eurotiomycetes; Eurotiales; Thermoascaceae. The record is from RNAcentral.
GAAGGAUCAUUACCGAGUGCGGGUCCUUCGGGGCCCAACCUCCCACCCGUGUCUACCGUACCGUGUUGCUUCGGCGGGCCCGCCGCAAGGCCGCCGGGGGGGCGUCCCCCCGGCCCGUGCCCGCCGGAGACCCUGUGAACGCUGAUCUGUGAAGGCGUGUCGUCUGAGUCGCGUGAGAAAUCGUGAAAACUUUCAACAACGGAUCUCUUGGUUCCGGCAUCGAUGAAGAACGCAGCGAAAUGCGAUAAGUAAUGUGAAUUGCAGAAUUCCGUGAAUCAUCGAAUCUUUGAACGCACAUUGCGCCCUCUGGUAUUCCGGGGGGCAUGCCUGUCCGAGCGUCAUUGCUGCCCUCAAGCACGGCUUGUGUGUUGGGCCGCCGUCCCCGCCCUCCGCGGGGGGACGGGCCCGAAAGGCAGCGGCGGCGCCGCGUCCGGUCCUCGAGCGUAUGGGGCUCUGUCACCCGCUCUGCAGGCCCGGCCGGCGCCCGCCGAGUCAACCACUUCUUUCCAGGUUGACCUCGGAUCAGGUAGGGAUACCCGCUGAACUUA